CUUGAGAGUGGCGAACGGGUGAGUAAUAUAUCGGAACGUGCCCAGUCGUGGGGGAUAACGUAGCGAAAGUUACGCUAAUACCGCAUACGAUCUAAGGAUGAAAGCGGGGGAUCGCAAGACCUCGCGCGAUUGGAGCGGCCGAUAUCAGAUUAGGUAGUUGGUGGGGUAAAGGCUCACCAAGCCAACGAUCUGUAGCUGGUCUGAGAGGACGACCAGCCACACUGGAACUGAGACACGGUCCAGACUCC
Molecule: ribosomal RNA, 248 nt
Filed under: uncultured Curvibacter sp.
Lineage: Bacteria; Pseudomonadati; Pseudomonadota; Betaproteobacteria; Burkholderiales; Comamonadaceae
Description: partial 16S ribosomal RNA
Rfam family: Bacterial small subunit ribosomal RNA
Source: RNAcentral